GAUGAACGCUGGCGGCGUGCCUAAUACAUGCAAGUCGAGCGAACGGACGAGAAGCUUGCUUCUCUGAUGUUAGCGGCGGACGGGUGAGUAACACGUGGAUAACCUACCUAUAAGACUGGGAUAACUUCGGGAAACCGGAGCUAAUACCGGAUAAUAUUUUGAACCGCGUGGUUCAAAAGUGAAAGACGGUCUUGCUGUCACUUAUAGAUGGAUCCGCGCUGCAUUAGCUAGUUGGUAAGGUAACGGCUUACCAAGGCAACGAUGCAUAGCCGACCUGAGAGGGUGAUCGGCCACACUGGAACUGAGACACGGUCCAGACUCCUACGGGAGGCAGCAGUAGGGAAUCUUCCGCAAUGGGCGAAAGCCUGACGGAGCAACGCCGCGUGAGUGAUGAAGGUCUUCGGAUCGUAAAACUCUGUUAUUCGGGAAGAACAUAUGUGUAAGUAACUGUGCACAUCUUGACGGUACCUAAUCAGAAAGCCACGGCUAACUACGUGCCAGCAGCCGCGGUAAUACGUAGGUGGCAAGCGUUAUCCGGAAUUAUUGGGCGUAAAGCGCGCGUAGGCGGUUUUUUAAGUCUGAUGUGAAAGCCCACGGCUCAACCGUGGAGGGUCAUUGGAAACUGGAAAACUUGAGUGCAGAAGAGGAAAGUGGAAUUCCAUGUGUAGCGGUGAAAUGCGCAGAGAUAUGGAGGAACACCAGUGGCGAAGGCGACUUUCUGGUCUGUAACUGACGCUGAUGUGCGAAAGCGUGGGGAUCAAACAGGAUUAGAUACCCUGGUAGUCCACGCCGUAAACGAUGAGUGCUAAGUGUUAGGGGGUUUCCGCCCCUUAGUGCUGCAGCUAACGCAUUAAGCACUCCGCCUGGGGAGUACGACCGCAAGGUUGAAACUCAAAGGAAUUGACGGGGACCCGCACAAGCGGUGGAGCAUGUGGUUUAAUUCGAAGCAACGCGAAGAACCUUACCAAAUCUUGACAUCCUUUGACAACUCUAGAGAUAGAGCUUUCCCCUUCGGGGGACAAAGUGACAGGUGGUGCAUGGUUGUCGUCAGCUCGUGUCGUGAGAUGUUGGGUUAAGUCCCGCAACGAGCGCAACCCUUAAGCUUAGUUGCCAUCAUUAAGUUGGGCACUCUAAGUUGACUGCCGGUGACAAACCGGAGGAAGGUGGGGAUGACGUCAAAUCAUCAUGCCCCUUAUGAUUUGGGCUACACACGUGCUACAAUGGACAAUACAAAGGGCAGCGAAACCGUGAGGUCAAGCAAAUCCCAUAAAGUUGUUCUCAGUUCGGAUUGUAGUCUGCAACUCGACUACAUGAAGCUGGAAUCGCUAGUAAUCGUAGAUCAGCAUGCUACGGUGAAUACGUUCCCGGGUCU
RNAcentral lists this ribosomal RNA (1372 nucleotides) under uncultured bacterium. RNAcentral describes it as "bacterial SSU rRNA". It matches the Rfam family "Bacterial small subunit ribosomal RNA", at positions 28 to 1381 of the family's 1533-position model. The record is from RNAcentral.